CCACCAACAGCCUCUGCCGCCCUCUGUUGUCAGUUAAUUGUCUUCCUCCACAGAAACUAAACCUAUAUAUGCAUAGAAAUGGCAGACCCAAACUCCACCGGCAGUAUCACCGCCAAACCCAGAGUCGUGAUAUGCAUAGGUGACAUCCAUGGCUACUUCGCCAAGCUCCAAAACCUCUGGUCCAAUCUCCAAACCGUAAUCAACCCAGAGGAUUUUAGCUCCGCUUUGGUCAUCUUUCUGGGUGAUUACUGUGACAGAGGUCCAGAUACUAAGAAAGUCGUAGAUUUCUUGAUUGAUUUGCCCUUGGCCUAUCCAAAUCAAAAACAUGUGUUUCUCUCUGGCAAUCACGACCUUGCUUUUGCGGCUUUUUUGGGGGUUUUGCCGGAGCCCGGAAACGGAGUGUCGUUUAAGGAGGGAUGGAAGGAGUACGAACAGAACGAGGAGCGAGAAGGUUGGUAUAAGGGACUUGGGUACGAGAAUAUGUUUCUGCAGGGGAGGAUGUGGGCUGGGACUGUUAAAGUUCGGUUCGAUGCUAAAGGGACAGAGUAUAAGGGUUCUGUUUAUGAUGCUGGACCUACAUUUGAGUCCUAUGGAGUCCCUCAUGGGUCUGCUGGUAUGUGAGUGCUUUUGCUUGAUUUCUGAUGGUAAAUUGAGUCUUCCAGUUAUUAUAUGGGCAGUGGAUUCUUGGGGUUUUUUGGAUUUGUUAUGGCAAAUGGACUCUAGAGAUUAGUUGGUGUGAAUUUCAGCAAUCAAUUAGGGACUGUAUUUGUCUUGGGCUUUCUAUAUGAAGUAGAUUCCUGUGUUUGAACUUGUGGUUUCUAGUUCAUUAUUUUAUUGUUGCUCUUUUUUUCUGAUGGAAUUUGGUGUUUGAUGUAUUAGUUUAUUUCUUGGUUUAUCAAUUUUGAUUCUAGCAUAUUGUGUUCGAAGCUGUUUUAUUUCUUUUUUUUCCCCAAUUCAACAGUGUUUUAGUAUGAAGUAGAAAUAAUAGACAAUAGCUAGAUCCUUCCUUUUCAAAAUUGAGAUGGAAUUUUUUUUAAAUUAGUACUGUGCUUCUGUUGUGUUAAAUUUUUUAUUGAAUGAAUAAUUUUUGCUGCAGAUUUAAUGCAGGUGGUACCUGAUGAGCACAAGAAGUUUCUGGCUGAUAUGGUUUGGGUCCAUGAAGAGGCAAGGCUUGUUUCUUUUGAUGUUUCUUAUCUUCUAGAACUUUGUUCAAUGAUGAGCAAAUGACUGCUGUUAUAAUAUGAUACAAAUUGCAAAAGAGAAAUAGAAACAAUUGGUUUCUUUGUGUUCUCUGUGUUUCCUUGAUCAAUGAUUUCUAAUUCUUCUGCGACUUCAUUUGCAUUCUACGAAAAAUGCUGAAGAUUAGCUGGUGUUGGUAAUAUGCAAUUUUUUUUUGGUAGGAAAAUGUAUGCAUACAGAAUGAAGGAGGAGUUAAACCCUGUAAAUUGAUUGCUGUGCAUGCUGGUUUAGAGAAUGGGAAAAAUAUUGAAGAACAGCUGAAACUUUUGAAGGCCAAGGACACCAGAGUGCCUAAGGUAGAGGCUCUUAGUGGGAGGAAAAAUGUGUGGGAUAUCCCAAAGGAAUUAACUGAGAAGCCAACUAUCGUGGUUAGCGGUCAUCAUGGGAAACUUCAUAUUGAAGGUCUUAGGUUGAUUAUCGAUGAAGGUGGUGGACUAGAGAACAAUCCAGUGGCUGCUAUUGUGCUUCCCUCAAUGAAGCUUGUCCGUGAUACGGACAAGUUCACAAAGUAACUUAAAUUUUGUGGUAGAUCAUAUAGUAACAGUGUCUUCACUUGAUGCUUUCCAAAAUUUAGCCAAGCAUAUUUAUCCAUUCAUGGAAUUUAAUCCAUACUAAUUCUGUGCUAUUUUUAUAUAAUUUAUUUGAAGAGUAUGCAAUAACUAUGAACUCAGUUUGUUCCAAUCUCCAUAUUGCUUCUUGCACUCGUGAUAUUUGCAGAAUGUAUAUCAUUUAUGGUUUUCUUCAAGAAGCUUCAUUUUUUUUGUCUGUUUUGAAUAAAUAUGGAAGCUUCUGGCCAACAGGUGAAUUUCCAUAAAUCUACUAUUUUCUUCAGCAGGCACAUGCCUUUCCAAAUGAAGCAUAGAAUUUUAUCUUUGCUUAAUAUGAAGGAAAUGAAUCUGGGAGAUAAAUAUCUUGGCUUACCUUCUUGGUGGGGACAAUCUAAAGUUCAAGCUCUUGACUUUAUUAAGGAGAAACUUAUAGCUAAGACGCAAUCCUAGAAGCAGAUGUCGUUAUCUCAAGCAGGCAGGGAGGUGCUCAUCAAGUCAGUUUUAAGUGCUAUACCUACAAAUUCUAUGGCUAUUCUUAAGUAACCUAAGGGGUUCUGUCGCUAGUUGAACAAUAUCCUCUCUAAUUUUUGUUGUGGGAGAAAGGAUAAGGAGAAAAAAGUGUAGUGGAUUAGUUGGAAAAAGGCCUCUCUUCCUAAGGCUUGUGGUGGUUUGGGUUUUCGAGAUAUUUAGCUCUUCAAUUUGGCUUGCUUAGCCAAGCAAUGCUAGAGGCUCAUUCACAACCUUAAUUAAACAUGGGCUUGUGUUCUCAAGGGUUUGCAUUUUCCUCAUUGAUCUUUCUUGCAAGCUUUAGGUACCCCCAGAAGAAGCUCAUGGAUUUGGCAAAGCCUUUUGGCCGAUGAAGAUGUUAUUAAAGAGGGUUACAGACACAAUAUUGGGGAUGGCACUCAAACUCUUAUUUGGUUUGAUCCUUGGAUUGAAGGCUUCAGGGUAUCUUGACCCUUACAGUAGCCUCUUCAUGUUUAUUUAGUGGCAGAUCUAAUCAAUCAUGAUUUGUUGCAAUGGAAAACUAAUCUUACUGAUAGUAUUUUUGAUCCAGUUAUUGCUACAGCAAUCAAAGCUAUUCCUAUUACUCCUUUGGGAAACGAAGAUUCUAUUGUGUGGCACUUUGAUCAUUCAGAUAAUUAUUCAGUUUAGUUUGGAUAUAGAUUUCUAUCUAGAAUCAGACUCUUUUGGUGUAAUUAUGCUAGGGCGACAAGCUUUGUGAGCCCUAACACUUAUAAGCCAAAUCCAGUUGGUUUUGGCUCUUCAUCGUCAUGGUGGUCAGCCGUUGUGAAUGAAUUCUGUGAGGACCAGUUGUGCUUUUGCUUUUUACCUAUUUCUUGCUGGAUCAUUUGGAAAAAGAGGAACCUCGCUAUGUUUGAUUAUAUUGACCUGAAUCGAGUAGCAGCUGCUGGACAUAUUUCCAAUUCUUUCUUUGAGUUAUCUAGAUCGGUUACUAGGGGAGAUCAUAACACUUCCUCCUUGCAUGAUUUUACUAUGAGUUCGAUGUGGUCUCCUCCGCCAAUUGGAACUCUUAAGCUGAAUAGUGAUGUGGCUUGGAGAGAUGCUGCAUCUUGUGCAACCAUUGCUAUUGUCCUCAGAAAUCAUGAAGGAAAACUUUUGGAUGGUCAAGUAUGUCUUACUCAGGUUGCUUCUUCUCUUGUGGGUGAGGCAAAAGCUCUUCUUCAAGCUUUACAGUUUGCUUGAUCCCUUGGCGCAAUUUCGAUUAUCCUUGAGAUGGAUUCUUCUUCUUUAUUCGAAACAACGUCUAAUUUGGAUGAUAUUGGAUGGUAGGAGAUUAGAGCUAUUUUGUGUUAUCUAUUAAAUCUCUUCUUCUUCACUUCUAUAAUGUGUUGU
This 3644-nucleotide unclassified non-coding RNA is filed under the name Hevea brasiliensis (rubber tree). Lineage: Eukaryota; Viridiplantae; Streptophyta; Magnoliopsida; Malpighiales; Euphorbiaceae. The record is from RNAcentral.